CGCUAGCGGCAGGCUUAACACAUGCAAGUCGAGGGGAAACGACAUCGAAAGCUUGCUUUUGAUGGGCGUCGACCGGCGCACGGGUGAGUAACGCGUAUCCAACCUGCCCACCACUUGGGGAUAACCUUGCGAAAGUAAGACUAAUACCCAAUGACGUCUCUAGAAGACAUCUGAAAGAGAUUAAAGAUUUAUCGGUGAUGGAUGGGGAUGCGUCUGAUUAGCUUGUUGGCGGGGUAACGGCCCACCAAGGCAACGAUCAGUAGGGGUUCUGAGAGGAAGGUCCCCCACAUUGGAACUGAGACACGGUCCAAACUCCUACGGGAGGCAGCAGUGAGGAAUAUUGGUCAAUGGACGAGAGUCUGAACCAGCCAAGUAGCGUGCAGGAUGACGGCCCUAUGGGUUGUAAACUGCUUUUAUAAGGGAAUAAAGUGAGUCUCGUGAGACUUUUUGCAUGUACCUUAUGAAUAAGGACCGGCUAAUUCCGUGCCAGCAGCCGCGGUAAUACGGAAGGUCCGGGCGUUAUCCGGAUUUAUUGGGUUUAAAGGGAGCGUAGGCCGGAGAUUAAGCGUGUUGUGAAAUGUAGAUGCUCAACAUCUGCACUGCAGCGCGAACUGGUUUCCUUGAGUACGCACAAAGUGGGCGGAAUUCGUGGUGUAGCGGUGAAAUGCUUAGAUAUCACGAAGAACUCCGAUUGCGAAGGCAGCUCACUGGAGCGCAACUGACGCUGAAGCUCGAAAGUGCGGGUAUCGAACAGGAUUAGAUACCCUGGUAGUCCGCACGGUAAACGAUGGAUGCCCGCUGUUGGUCUGAAUAGGUCAGCGGCC
This 824-nucleotide ribosomal RNA is filed under the name uncultured bacterium. Its description in RNAcentral is "bacterial SSU rRNA". It matches the Rfam family "Bacterial small subunit ribosomal RNA", at positions 34 to 848 of the family's 1533-position model. The record is from RNAcentral.